ACAGAUCGUUCAGAGUUUGAUCCUGGCUCAGGAUGAACGCUGGCGGCGUGCCUAACACAUGCAAGUCGAACGAAGCACUUAGACAGAACCUUCGGGUGACGUAUUGGUGACUGAGUGGCGGACGGGUGAGUAACGCGUGGGUAACCUGCCCUGUACAGGGGGAUAACAGUUAGAAAUGACUGCUAAUACCGCAUAAGCGCACGAUGGUAGCAUUACCAGGUGUGAAAAACUCCGGUGGUACAGGAUGGGCCCGCGUCUGAUUAGCUAGUUGGCGGGGUAAGAGCCCACCAAGGCGACGAUCAGUAGCCGGUCUGAGAGGAUGAACGGCCACAUUGGAACUGAGACACGGUCCAA
Molecule: ribosomal RNA, 354 nt
Filed under: uncultured bacterium
Lineage: Bacteria
Description: bacterial SSU rRNA
Rfam family: Bacterial small subunit ribosomal RNA
Source: RNAcentral